Molecule: microRNA, 22 nt
Filed under: Gallus gallus (chicken)
Lineage: Eukaryota; Metazoa; Chordata; Aves; Galliformes; Phasianidae
Description: microRNA Ros-gga
Source: RNAcentral
CGGCAGACACGAACUAGGUGAC